This 711-nucleotide ribosomal RNA is filed under the name Pygolampis sp. UCR ENT 00128728. RNAcentral's name for it is "partial large subunit ribosomal RNA". It matches the Rfam family "Bacterial large subunit ribosomal RNA", at positions 1730 to 2735 of the family's 2925-position model. The record is from RNAcentral. Lineage: Eukaryota; Metazoa; Arthropoda; Insecta; Hemiptera; Reduviidae.
GUAAUAAUGAUUUAAUUAGUAUGUUUAUUUAUAAUUAAAAUUAUAGGAAUUCGGCAAUUAAAAUACUCGCCUGUUUAACAAAAACAUGUCCUUUUGUUAUUUAUAUGAGGUCUAACCUGCCCAAUGAUGAUUUUAAUGGCCGCGGUAUUUUAACCGUGCUAAGGUAGCAUAAUCAUUUGUCUUUUAAUUGGGGGCUAGAAUGAAUGGUUGGACGAGGUAUUAACUUUCUUUAAUUUAAUUACGGAAUUUAAUUUUUGAGUGAAAAAGCUUAAAUUUUUUUGUUAGACGAGAAGACCCUAUAGAUCUUAAUACUUAACUUAUUUGUGAUGUUUGGGGAUUAUUAUAUUACUAUUAAGUACAGUAUUUGAUUGGGGUGAUUGUAGAAUUAAAAUAACUUCUAUUUUAUAUAUCAUUUAUGUAUGUUUUUAUGAUCCAUUAUAAUGAUUAAAAGAUUAAGUUACCUUAGGGAUAACAGCGUAAUUUCUGUGGAGAGUUCAUAUCGAUGCAGGAGUUUGCGACCUCGAUGUUGGAUUAAAAUAAGUUUUGAAUGUAGCAGUUCAAUUACUGGGUCUGUUCGACCCUUAAAUUUUUACAUGAUCUGAGUUCAGACCGGCGUAAGCCAGGUCAGUUUCUAUCUUCAAUUAAAUUGUAUAUACUAGUACGAAAGGACCUUAUAUACAAAAUAAUUUUUAUUAAAUAUUACUUUGGCAG